AGAGUUUGAUCCUGGCUCGGGAUGAACGCUAGCCACAGGCUUAACACAUGCAAGUCGAGGGGCAGCAUUUUAGUUUGCUUGCAAACUGAAGAUGGCGACCGGCGCACGGGUGAGUAACACGUAUCCAACCUGCCGAUAACUCCGGAAUAGCCUUUCGAAAGAAAGAUUAAUACCGGAUAGCAUACGAAUAUCGCAUGAUAUUUUUAUUAAAGAAUUUCGGUUAUCGAUGGGGAUGCGUUCCAUUAGUUUGUUGGCGGGG
RNAcentral lists this ribosomal RNA (259 nucleotides) under uncultured bacterium. RNAcentral's name for it is "partial 16S ribosomal RNA". It matches the Rfam family "Bacterial small subunit ribosomal RNA", at positions 8 to 257 of the family's 1533-position model. The record is from RNAcentral.